RNAcentral lists this ribosomal RNA (253 nucleotides) under uncultured bacterium. Its description in RNAcentral is "partial 16S ribosomal RNA". It matches the Rfam family "Bacterial small subunit ribosomal RNA", at positions 524 to 776 of the family's 1533-position model. The record is from RNAcentral.
UACAGAGGGGGCUAGCGUUAUUCGGAAUUAUUGGGCGUAAAGGGCGCGUAGGCGGCCAUGCGUGUCUUCCGUGAAAUCCCCAGGCUUAACCUGGGAACUGCAUCCGAUACUGGAUGGCUUGAAUCCGGGAGAGGGAUGCAGAAUUCCAGGUGUAGCGGUGAAAUGCGUAGAUAUCUGGAGGAACACCGGUGGCGAAGGCGACUCUCUGGUCUGUAACUGACGCUGAGGCGCGAAAGCGUGGGGAGCAAACAGG